RNAcentral lists this transfer RNA (58 nucleotides) under Escherichia coli. Its description in RNAcentral is "tRNA-Gly". It matches the Rfam family "tRNA", at positions 8 to 63 of the family's 71-position model. From Rfam's summary of the family: Transfer RNA (tRNA) molecules are approximately 80 nucleotides in length. Their secondary structure includes four short double-helical elements and three loops (D, anti-codon, and T loops). The record is from RNAcentral. RNAcentral also lists the same sequence under 40 other names. Lineage: Bacteria; Pseudomonadati; Pseudomonadota; Gammaproteobacteria; Enterobacterales; Enterobacteriaceae.
UAGCUCAGUUGGUAGAGCACGACCUUGCCAAGGUCGGGGUCGCGAGUUCGAGUCUCGU